Molecule: long non-coding RNA, 3709 nt
Filed under: Homo sapiens (human)
Lineage: Eukaryota; Metazoa; Chordata; Mammalia; Primates; Hominidae
Description: HSALNT0406859
Source: RNAcentral
ACACACAGAGGAGAACACCAUGAAACCAUGGGGCAGAGACUGGAGUGAUACAACCAAAAACCCAGGAGCACCUGGAGUUGCCAAGGUCUGGAAGAGGCAGGAAGGAUCCUCCCCUAUAGCCUCCUGAGGGAGUACAGCCCUGAGACACCUUGAUCUCAGCCUCCUGGACUCCAGGACUGGGUAAGGAUAAGUAUCUGUUGUUUAAGCCCCUGGUUUGUGGUAACUUGUUAUAGCAGCCACAGAAAACUAAUUCAGACAUAUUCAUAGACUCCAGGGAUUCUGAUGUCUGUAUCUUGAACAGCAUGAGGGAUCAUUAUUAAGCCAUUGGCAGGGCUCGGUUCUAAUUGUGGCCAUGGAUUGCCUUUGGUCUGUUGGACACGUCCUUUUCUCUGGAACAGCCAUGGCAACUCCAUGUGAUUAGAUUAGGAUGGGAUUCUAGGGUGGAGAUCCCAUUCCAACCAUGGGUGGACAUUUAAUCCAGGAACGGCCAAGUCCUUCAGCCAUAAUGAUUGGUACCAAGAUGGGUGAUAUCGUUUGGCUGUGUCUCCACCCAAAUCUCAUCUUGAAUUGUAGUUCCAUAAUGUCCUAAACAUUAGAAACGGUAAAUGUUAGCUAACAUGGCAAAAGGGACUUUGCGGCUAUAAUGAGUUAAGAAUCCUGAGAUGAGAUGAUCCUGGAUUAUCCUGAUGGGUUCUAAGUAAUCACAAGAGUCCUUAUAAGAGGGAGGUAGGAGUGUCAAAGUCAGAGAAGGAGAUGUGAAGAGGGAAGCAGAGGUCAGAGAGAGAGAGAGAGAGACUGGAGGAUACUGUGCUGCUGGCUUUGAAGAUGGAGGAAGAAGCCAUAAGCCAAGGAAUACCACAGCCUCUAGAAGAGGGAAAUCUCAAGGAAAUGGAUUUUCUUUUGGAACCUCCAGAAGGAACCAGCCUGCUGACACCUUGAUUUUUCGACUUCUGAUUACCAGAACUAUAAGAAAAAUUGUGUUAUUUUAAGCAAUUAAGUUUGUGACAUUUUGUUACAGCACCAAUAGCAAACUCAUACACUCCUUUAAUGGUCUUUUAACCUCAGGUCCUCUCUCUCUCUCUUUCUUCUCCUCCUCUUUCCCUUCUCCUUCUUCUUUUUCUCUCAAUCUCUCUCUCUCUCAUUCUCUUUCUCUCCAUCUGUUCUCUCCAGAAGGGCAGAUGAACUUUUUAUUUACAUGGGGGCUCUUGAGUCCAUAAGAGAGAAGUCAGAAGCUGCCAGGUCUCCUAAGUCUAGGGCAGGAAGGAUAGUAUCAGCAUCACUUCUGCGGCAUUCUGUUGGUCUAUGCAAAUCAGAGGCUCAUCCUAGAUCCAAGGGGAGGAAAAAGGCUCCAACUUGUAGCUGGGCUCAUUUGGAAGGUAAUGGGAGGACUUGGCAGCUGUAAGACAUGUACCACAUCUAGACUUCAACCUACAGAAAAGUCCAAAGAUACACCAACAGCAGCCCAAGUUAGUCAACUGAAGCUGGCUCAAGGCUGCCCCCUUUAGGUGGAGACUAACCAGCUCCCUGACAUCCUUCAGUUAACUGCACCUUCCUCCUUUUUGCUGCCUGGAAUGUCUACAUGCUGCCUGGAGCUAUGGCAGCCAUCUUGUGACCAUGAGGCAAACCCUAUGUGCAAGAGCAGGAAGCUGGAAAGAACCUGUCAGCCCUGGAUUGCUUCCUCUGUGACCCCCAUUACCUGGGAGAGAACACAUCUUUCUCUUGUUUAAGGCGUUCUUAUUCCCAGUCGCCCUCUCUCCCCUGUAUAACCCUAAAAGCACAGGAGUACACUUGUGACUGUGACUUAAGUUUUUCAGAACGGGGGAGUUUGGAUUGUUUAGUCCUCUCUCCAUGAAUAGUGAAUAGCAAUGCCAGGUGAGUUCCUUCAAAGCUGGGGGGUGAAGGGGUGGAGGUGGAAAAGUAGGAUUGAGGAUGGGAAAUAAAAACAAACAAAUGACACCAUCCAGGGAGAUUUGUCACAUUUUAUUCAGUAUUUCUGCUGCACUGCCAGCCUAGGGAUGCACUUGAUUCCCAAGAAAUGCAACUGUCCUAUUCGCAGAGCCGUCCACAGGUACCUACCCCCUGGACUGCAGCAACUUUAUUACCUUAACUAGCACAGAACAGAGGUUGAUUUAAACUCCUUACACUCACUUCUCAGAUCAAUGAAUGGGCAAAGAAACACCUCAUGGCUCUGGGAAGGCAUGCUGAGACCCGUUUUUGCAAGUCCUGAGGAAUGGAAGAAUAUAGCUGCCAGGUAUCCCAAGUCUAGGGCAGGGAGGGUAGUAUCGGCAUCACUUUCACUGCAUUCUGUUGGUCAACGCAAGUCAGAGGCUCAGCCCAGAUCCAAGGGCAGGGAAGAGGCUCCAUCGUGUAGUUGGGCUCACUUGGAAGGUAAUGGGAGGAGUUGGUGGCUGCUUUAAGACACAUACCACAUCUAGAUUUCAACCUCCAGAAAAGUCCAAAGAUGCACUCACAGGAGCCCGUUAGUCAACUGAAGCUGGUUCAUGGCUCUCUUCUUCAGGUGGAGACUAACCAACUCCCUGACCUCCUUCGGUUAAGUGCUCCUUCCUUUUUCCUGCUGCCUGGAAUGUCUAUGUGCCAUCUGGAGCUAUGGCAGCCUUCUUGCAACCAUGAGGCAAACUCUAUGUGCAAGAGCAGGUAGCUAGAAAGAGCCUGCCAGCCCUGGGCUUAUAUCCUGCUUCCCAGGGAGCUUAAAGAUAGCAAAACCCACAGCCAUUUUCAUCAAAUGCCAGGAAAUUCUUAGGCUGGGAUUGUUGGGAUUGUUUGAAUGGUUGAGCGUGAAAGACUUGUUAUAAUGGGCUUGUUGAAUACGGUGAAAGAUGAGAUGGCUUUUAGCUGCCUCCACUCCCCGUGUCCCAUGCUCCAUAGAUGUUUCUUUUUUUUUUUUUUUUUAAUCAUUUUUUGGUUAUGCCAGGUGUCUCCUGUGUGUCCCUCCAGAUCCCUCUCCAGCCCUAGAAACCUGAGCUCUAUAAAUGUUGCCUCUCUCCACUCAUCUUCUCUUUGGCUUCAGGUUGAGUUCAGCCAACAGAUGCCCCUGUAGGAUUUGGACACAGGGAGCCAGGGGAGAGGGGCAUCAGCUGCCUGGUUAGCAGGGCUGUGAUGAUUCUUCUACCUAUGACUCUCAGUGCUGUUGCCUCUUCCUCUGGAUCUUGGAAGCUUCCAUGCUGAGGUCUGAAGGUUCCCAUGGCUGUCUCUUUGCCCAAGGGGCAAACUUUCCAUCAGGGCAUCUUCUGUGCCUCUGAGGAUCAUUUUCCAAUUAUAGGCAAUGGUAGUACGUGUUUCAGUGCAGAAUGAGAUAGAGUUGUUUAAUUUGACAAUAAAGCGAUGCGUCAAAAACCUCAGUCAACACAGUAAGUGUUUUCUUGUUUUCCUGCUGACCAACCUAAUUCUGGUUUCAUACAGGGCAGCCAGGUGCCCACCUAAAAGACUGCACUUCUCAACUUCCAGUUGUUUCUAUGGAUAAUGGUUGGAAGCAGAAAUUGGGUUGGGGCUUCCAGAUAAUCCCCCCUCACAGGGACUGCUUCAAGAGAAAGGGAUGCCCUUUGGUUCUUUCUCCUUUCCACUGCCUGGAAUGUGAUGUCUGACACUGUGGCAGCCAUACUGGCAUAAUGAGGCCAACUCUCUGCCAUGCUAAGAGUGGCAGAGCUGGGAAUUGAAAAGAGCCUGCUAGCCUUGGGUUGCUUCCCCUUGA